GAGAGAAUCCAGACAGCAUCUCAGGACGUCUGAGACACCCACGCGACUAUACAUCGGAAGGCGGAUGGACUUUCCUCCGGGAGGAUGUGGAAAUAGGUGAAAACUCUCCGACCCCGACGGGCAGCCUAGUACCCGCAAGCGGCUUUCUUCCAACGGGUGACCCCAGAGGAUCCACGCACAUCUAGGGCAGGAGCGAGAACACAACAGAGGAGCGACGGUGGAAACAGACUAGAACAUCGAACAGCUUACUCAGGGUUUCGGAAAGAAAACCCUGGACUUUUUCUUCUGCCAGAGCCCCGCCUUCUCAUCUGUUGGACUUUUCCAUUGGAUUUUCACCCAGGCGCUGUAUUGUUUGAAAGGAAUUGGAUGGAAAAAGAUGCCUUGGCUUGUAGUACGAAAGCCGCUAAAGAGCCUUCGGGAAGCUCAUUUGGGCACUUUUUCCUUGUUGGCUCAGAGAUGCUGAAAUUCCC
RNAcentral lists this long non-coding RNA (470 nucleotides) under Equus caballus (horse). RNAcentral's name for it is "lncRNA (ENSECAG00000048810.1)". Lineage: Eukaryota; Metazoa; Chordata; Mammalia; Perissodactyla; Equidae. The record is from RNAcentral.